Passer montanus (Eurasian tree sparrow) is the source of this 1117-nucleotide long non-coding RNA. RefSeq lists it as uncharacterized. The transcript has 4 exons. The record is from RefSeq and is a predicted model, not a curated record. NCBI's taxonomy places the organism in Eukaryota, Metazoa, Chordata, Aves, Passeriformes, Passeridae.
GGCCUCCCGGCCCCGCCGUGCACGGGCUGAGGGAGGCGCAGAGCGGCCGCGGCUGCCGGGUAGGGCGGUGUGCGAACCGAGGGGCCCCCGGUCCUGCCGGCCCUUAGCCCCCGGCCGCGGGAACCGAGGGGCCCCCGCCGCCGGGAGCCUCCGCCGCUUUCUGCCACGGCGAGCCCGUGCAAACACCCCCGAGCCUGAGCCAUGCCCAAAGCCCGGAAAGCCUGUGGCCGUGGCUUUAGUUUUCCAUAGCCCGGUGUGAGUAGGGAGGACUCCCGAUACUCCCGGUAGGAGUUAGGAAGACAUUCUUUCCUGUAAGGGUGGUGAGGCGCUGGGACAGGUUGCCAGUUGUGGGUGUCCAGCCUUGGAAGUCUUCCAGGUCAGGUUGGAUGGGGCUUUGAGCAAAUUUUUUGUGGAAGGUGUCUCUGUGGCCGGGGUGUUGGAAAUGAUUUAAGGUCCCUUCCAACCCAAAGCAUCCUGUGACUCUACACGGGUGGUUGGCACGUUCUGGGAUGUGCUCCUGGCCCAAGCAACUGCCCUGCCCAAGCUGAGGCUGCAAUCAACCAACACCCAUACCUGCAGAAUGGGGACGUGUUAAUAACCAGCACAAAUCCCGCUGUGACGCUGCCACGCCUGACUUCCUGCACCACACACCUGAGUCCCGUGUACUGGUGUCACCUGAACGCCAUGGAGCUGAACGCAGAAGCUGGGCUGAGUUCUCAGAGCAUAGACGUGUGAAUGUGCAUUCAGAGUCACUGUCAUUUAAGAGCAGGAAACCAUUAAAAUGUGACAUUAUGUUACCACGCAAAACUACCUUCUCUGUCCAAGAAAAGAGAUGAGACAAAUAAAGUGCAACAAUUACCCUUCAUUUUUGGUGCACCAUCUGAAGAUGAUGCCUUUCUCUUCACAGUGGUGGCCUCUGCUUUAUUCUGCUUGUGUUGGAGAUACUGAGCUUUCUGUUUCCAGAUCUGUAGUUACCAUGGAGUCAUCUAUCACCAGCUCUCCAGCCUCCAACUCUCCACCAGAAGAAGAACCAGAUUCUGGCGGUGCCUCCACACCUGAAACCUCGUACUCGCUUCCAUGGCCCUCUGAAUGAAGGGAGGUGUCAGCACCAAAACUC